GGACCAUAGCACAGUGGUUAGCACUCCUGCCUGCCAAGCCAGCGACCCGGGUUCAAUUCCCGAGUCGGUUCU
Molecule: transfer RNA, 72 nt
Filed under: Alosa alosa (allis shad)
Lineage: Eukaryota; Metazoa; Chordata; Actinopteri; Clupeiformes; Clupeidae
Description: tRNA-OTHER
Source: RNAcentral